Molecule: long non-coding RNA, 3228 nt
Organism: Erinaceus europaeus (western European hedgehog)
Lineage: Eukaryota; Metazoa; Chordata; Mammalia; Eulipotyphla; Erinaceidae
Exons: 2
Source: RefSeq, a predicted model, not a curated record
CCUUUUUAAAAAUUAUUUUAUUCAAUAGGACAGAGAGAAAUUGAGAAGGAAGGGGGAGAUAGAGAGUGUGAGAGAAAGGUAGACACCUGCAGACCUGCUUUACCGCUUAUGAAGUGUCCCCACUGCAGGUGGGGACUGUGGGCUUGAACCUAUGUCCUUGGACUUAGUACUAAGUGCACUUAACUAGGUGCACCACCACCGUCCACCCCCUCCCUCCACUUUCUUAUCUUUACAUACUGUAUUACAUAAUUUCCAAGGCACUUUUACAUCAUCUCAUCCGAUCCUCACAGUCAUGACAUGAAGUGGACAAAGAAGGUCAUCAAUUGUGUGAUAGAUGAGGAAACUGAGACAAAGGGGGGGUUUGUGGGAGAGGUGGAGAGGCAUGGCCUGGCUCACACAGCCAAUAAGCAGUGCACUGGGACUAGAAUGUAGGCUACCUACGUUCUCUUCCAUACUUCCUUACUCAAUUGUGAAAAUGUUACUUAAAGGAAUGUUGAUGAUGACCUACGAGCUACUUAUGAUAUAACUUUCUAUUUUAAGAAAGACUUCUGGGGGCCAGGCAGUAGCACAGCAGGUUAAGCGCACAUGUGGUGCAAAGCUCAAGGACCGGUGUAAGGAUCCUGGUUUGAGCGGUGAAGCAGGUCUGCAGGUGUCUUAUUUUUCUCUCCCCCUCUCUGUCUUCCCCUCCUCUCUCCAUUUCUCUCUGUCCUAUCCAACAACAAUAGCAGCAAUGGCAACAAUAACAACAGCAAGGCAACAAAACAGGAAAAAUGGCCUCCAGGAACAGUGGAUUCGUAAUGUAGGCACUGAGCCCCAGCAAUAAACUUGGAGGCAAACUAAACAAACAAAUAAAUAAAUAAACUUUAAAAAAAGAAAAAGAAAGACUUCUAUCUGCAUUUCUUUGAGGUUUUUAGUGCCUCAAGUCUCCCUGUUGGCCAGACUGUCACCACAGUGUUCCCUAACCCAGUCUAGCCUAUGGCAGGAAAGUAGUGCUUAUCUCUGAAGUCUUGCUCCUUUGAAGCCAUACAGUAUCUUAAUAGUGAUACUUUUCUAAAGUCAGCCUGGGGUCAUAUCAUAGGUGCCUUAUUCCUUAAGGGUAAUAUUGUCUAGUACCGGUUUUGUAGAGUUUCUAUCUAUUAUUUUACAAAAUGAAAAGACUUUCCAGUAGGGUCUGAUCCCAAGAGAGGGCAAGAGAUAGGCUAUGUAGAGAAAUGACUAACUGUCAUAUCAAAUGUUAACCUUUGGGGCAUCCCCUCAAAGGAGUAACUGGGAUGGAGCUGAAACACUGGAGAAGCAACAGGUCUACUCUACAGAAUGAUGGCAGGAGAGAGGAGAUAGUCUGGGCUCUCAUUUGUCUUAAAGGUUUCAGGCAUUUAAUUGUCAGUGUUACUUUUUUCAAAAAGAAAAUAUUGGCCUUAGUGGCCUGAUUACAGGAUCGCAAAAUUGUCAGUGAAAUAUCUUGUCAUGUCUAUAGUGAUAGUGGACUGUUUGUUUCACAGCGUUUAAAGCUGUCUGCUUUUUUCUUUUUUGGAGAAAUAUAAAUUUCAGAGAUGGAGAUUCAGAUGAGUGGCUUUUCUUUCUUUUUUUCUAAUCAGUCACUGACAUAUCAAUGCAGCUCUAUUUUAUCACCUUCUGUGUAUGUUUUAAAAGCAGAACUUACAUAAUGGAGCCAAAAAAAAAUAGGUGAAGGUUGAUUUAAAAAUUCCUUGGAAUAUCAGUUACUACUCCUUUUAAAAUCUGGUUUUGGUUUUCUCUGUUCUGUUUCUUUAGUGAGAACAUCAUCACUGUGCCAGAUCCUAUACAUAAAGGGUAUGAAAAUGAUCUGUGUUGUAAAGAUGUUUUUCAUGUGAUGUUAUAUGAAUGCAUUUAAAAAUCAGCAGGGCCAGAGAGAUGACAUACCUACUGUGGCGUAUACCUUGCCAUGCAUGUGACCCAGGUUCAAGCCCUGGCACCAAAUGGGAGGUACUGUGACACUGGAGCGGUCAUGGAGCUGUGGCGCCUCUGCCUCCCUCUUCCUGUCUGUCUCCCUAUCUGAAUGAAACAGUGGCUCGAGAGCAGUGAGAACACACAGGCACACACGUGUGAAACCUGAGCUCCACAAAAUAGACUCUUCACCUCUGCAGUGCAGGUAGGUUAAUUGUGAGGGUGCAGGGGUUGGUUCAAAGUACCCGGUCAGAUAGCUUUUUCUCUUCCACAAAACCGGUGCUGAGCACGAGUGAGUGCUCUAACUCACUGUAAGAACAAAGUUAUCUGAGUACUUUUUCCAUAGACUACUGGGUACCCAGGAACAAAGCUACCAGAGAUUAUUUAUAAUAUCCUUUGACUACGGAACUGAGAGAGUACUUGGCAACUCCAAGAUUCCGGGUUCUAGAUCUUAAGCAGCCGUAUCUGAACUUUUCCUGAACUUGUGUGUCUGUGUGGUGGGCAUUGAUUGUCAAAACUGACGUGUCAUGUGGUGGGUGUCACUUUAACCUCUUGGAACAAUCACAGCAAACUACAGCCCAUGUUCCCUAUUACUGAAUUCAAGUUGAAUUUUUACUUUAAACUGAGAUGAUUCUUGAUCCUAACCAGUUGGGGUGGGGGGUGAGAAGAGUGUCAUUUCUCCUAGUUGGAUUUCUGGGAAAAGAUUCUUGAAAACUUUACAUGACCCUGAAGCAUCAGAUCUGGGGUGAUUAUUUGGGGAAAGCAUAAAUGACAAUCCUUUAUUGUGUUUUGCCAUCUAUGGCAUUUAUUGAAAUAAGAAUACACUGUGAUUGUGCUAUCUUCUGGCCAGUGUUAAGCAAAUCUGCUUCCAGUUUGGUUAAUUCUAUUUGCUCUUGAAGAGAGAGAGGCACAAUUUAAUCUUUGCCUCCACAAGCAUAUUAGAGCUUCUAUGUUAAUUCACUUUUACACUUCAACAUUAAACAUCCUGAGUAAAUGAAUAAAUGGACAUAUUUAUUCAUCUUAAUUUUCUUGCAACAGUAAGCUCAGACUUCAUAUGGUAUUGUUGGAUUUCAGAGGCUCUCUGGUAUUGAAGUAAAUCUAAGUAAAUGUUGCCAUUAAUUUUUCUAGUAUAUGUAACCAUGUGAUUCAUACCAAUGUAAUCAGGAAGCAGUGUGGUGAUUGUGGCAAGAAUGUUUCCAGUGCAUCUGUCUUCCUGAUCCUACUUUAUUUCAUGUGUCAGUGUUUACAUUAUAAACUUAUUAUAUUUUCUGUGAAAGGAAAAGCUAAAUAAAUCUUGGCAGUUUG